This is a long non-coding RNA of Lolium rigidum, 1514 nucleotides long. RefSeq lists it as uncharacterized. Lineage: Eukaryota; Viridiplantae; Streptophyta; Magnoliopsida; Poales; Poaceae. The transcript is spliced from 7 exons. The record is from RefSeq and is a predicted model, not a curated record.
AGUUGUUCGAUAACAAUCCAGGCAGUUUGCGGGAAGAUUAAUGCCUUCGUAUGCUCUGCUAUCUGCUCAGUAAUUCCUUUCUUAUGAAAUUUCGCUGCAGUCAGCUCUCAGAUUUGAAGCCCACCUACAGGUCCCUCGGUCCCUUCAGAAGUACCAGAUAAGUGCACUGUAUGUUGUGUUGAUCAAGAGCGGGGAAGGAGAGUUUAGAACAUGUGUGAGCAUAUUAUUGUCAGGUAAUUAAUUUGGAUGCACUUAGUACUUUUCAGCUGUAUCAAAUGCAUAGCAGCAUAGCUGCACUGCAUCUUGAUGAUCGAAUUCGAUGAUUUAUGUUGAAUGUAUUGAGGGUGGAUAAUGGUGCCAAGAUGUUGUAAAUGAAAAUUUGGUAAUAUUCGAGCUAAAACUUAGUCAUACUAGAAACUAAUACCAGCUUGUGAUGAUGUAAAGAUGAUCCCUCCAAGGCUGAUUUAUUUAAAGUGUAAACACUAUCUAGAACACAUAAUUCUUUACACAAGAAUGAGCCAUGACGGUGGCUAUUUGUCGACCUUUGUAAGGACACCAGUACAUAAGAGUUGAAUUAUCCUAUUAAGACUUGCCACCUUUGAUUUGUUGAGAUAUUUAUAAUUGUGCAUGAUAUCUAGCUAAUAUGCAGUUUUGAGGAUUUCCUUUCCUUUUGUUUCAGAUGAAAUAAUUUUUCUACAGGGCAAGGAUUACUUUCUACUUCACUGGUCAGGGUCAAGCUAUCUUCGAAGAUGGCUCCAAGGUCAUCUGAGCUCCUCCAUUUGUGGCUUUGGAAGGGGUGGGCAAGACCAUGGCUUGUGUGAUAAAUGGGCAGACCGGUAAUGUUGGACUUCAUGGCGGUGUUGGACAGUUCCAAGGAAAACAUGGGAUCCUUCAUUUGGUGAUUCGGACAGUGAGCAUUUUCCGCCUAUUGUAUGUCAAAUAAAGCCAUGGUGGAAAGUGGAAACUCACAUAAUUUGUUUGCAGGGUCUUGCUGAAAUGGGAUGAAGAUUUAUGUACCUUCACGUCUUGAAGACAUUCUAUUAAGAUUGCUAUUUCAGUGCAGUAAAUUUCAGAUUUGUCAAGGAGGUGGAAAUACUGACGGUGGUCUCAUUAGGCUGUUUGAUUUAGCCUGAACCGAACGAUAUAUGCAAGGUAAGGUUGGAGGCCCCUCUGCAUUGUAAAGGCCAUACGGACAAACAUACAGAUUGUAGAUUUUCGUCUACUUCUUCUUUAUUGGUAACUACCAUUGUCUUUGCUUCAUCUCUGUAAUGUUGUUCACACUUUGUAGAUUCCACCUUUCUCAUUCUAUUAUCUCUAAUUGUUAUGUUCAGGUAAAGGAUGUUUCUCCUCUAUUCCCAUCCUAGGGCAAUUAAUUCGUUUUACAGAUAAUGACUAUUAGUUGGGUUAUACGAAGCACCAGAUUUUACUCUGGAUGCCAUCUUCUUUAGCAAGAGUAUUCACUGGAUAUACUGCCAUAAGGAAAUGUACUUCCUAUUGAUUAGCGCUCAAGGAAA